AGAACGAACGCUGGCGGCAGGCCUAACACAUGCAAGUCGAGCGGACCCUUCGGGGUUAGCGGCGGACGGGUUAAUAACGCGUGGGAACGUACCCUUCUCUACGGAAUAGCCUCGGGAAACUGAGAGUAAUACCGUAUACGCCCUUAGGGGGAAAGAUUUAUCGGAGAAGGAUCGGCCCGCGUUGGAUUAGGUAGUUGGUGGGGUAAUGGCCUACCAAGCCGACGAUCCAUAGCUGGUUUGAGAGGAUGAUCAGCAACACUGGGACUGAGACACGGCCCAGACUCCUACGGGAGGCAGCAGUGGGGAAUCUUAGACAAUGGGGGAAACCCUGAUCUAGCCAUGCCGCGUGAGCGAUGAAGGCCUUAGGGUGUAAAGCUACUUUCGCUGGGGAAGAUAAUGACGGUACCAGUAAAGAGCCCGGCUAACUCCGUGCCAGCAGCCGC
RNAcentral lists this ribosomal RNA (443 nucleotides) under uncultured soil bacterium. Its description in RNAcentral is "bacterial SSU rRNA". It matches the Rfam family "Bacterial small subunit ribosomal RNA", at positions 26 to 518 of the family's 1533-position model. The record is from RNAcentral.